RNAcentral lists this long non-coding RNA (358 nucleotides) under Ananas comosus (pineapple). RNAcentral describes it as "long non-coding RNA (ACOM_LNC007857)". The record is from RNAcentral. Lineage: Eukaryota; Viridiplantae; Streptophyta; Magnoliopsida; Poales; Bromeliaceae.
UCUAAAAUACAUAUUGUUUUUUUUUUUUUAAGAAAGAUAGGUAGCACACUGCCUAUUUCGUUUAUUUUAUUUAGAAAUAACUUAGCUGGAAAUGUGAAUUAACUAGGAUUCGAACUUGGGUACCAACCACCAAGCCCAUUACCACUUACUCUAGGGACGGUCGGUCUAAAAUACAGAUUGUUUUUUUUUUUUUUUUUUUGAGAAAUAAAUAGCACGCUGCCCGCUUCAUUUAUUUCAUUUAGAAAUAAACUUAACUGGAAAUGCGAAUCAAUUAGGAUUCGAAUUUGAGAUCUCGGGUAUCAACCACCAAACCCUUUGUCACUUGCUCUAGAAACAGUUGGUUAAAAUACAAAUUGUU